GAUGAACGCUGGCGGCGUGCCUAAUACAUGCAAGUCGAGCGAACAGACGAGGAGCUUGCUCCUCUGACGUUAGCGGCGGACGGGUGAGUAACACGUGGAUAACCUACCUAUAAGACUGGGAUAACUUCGGGAAACCGGAGCUAAUACCGGAUAAUAUAUUGAACCGCAUGGUUCAAUAGUGAAAGACGGUUUUGCUGUCACUUAUAGAUGGAUCCGCGCCGCAUUAGCUAGUUGGUAAGGUAACGGCUUACCAAGGCGACGUUGCUUAGCCGACCUGAGAGGGUGAUGGGCCGCCCGGAAUGUGGUACAGGGCCUGACCCCCAGUGGGCGGCCCGAGUGGGGAUUCUGCGGUAACGGGAGAGAGCACGGAGGCGCACCCCCGCGGUGGUGAAGGAUGCCCAGGGUGGGGAAAACUGUUUUAAUCGGGAAGAACAAAUGCGUAAGCAACCAAGCCGGCUUGGAGGGCCCCAAAAAAGAAAGCCACGGCAACCUCUGC
RNAcentral lists this ribosomal RNA (496 nucleotides) under uncultured bacterium. Its description in RNAcentral is "partial 16S ribosomal RNA". It matches the Rfam family "Bacterial small subunit ribosomal RNA", at positions 28 to 506 of the family's 1533-position model. The record is from RNAcentral.